RNAcentral lists this long non-coding RNA (444 nucleotides) under Androctonus crassicauda. Lineage: Eukaryota; Metazoa; Arthropoda; Arachnida; Scorpiones; Buthidae. The record is from RNAcentral.
UGUUAUCUUCAGGCUCAAGCUUUAAAAUUCAUGAUAACUAUAUUAAUGCCAAAAAAACUGGUGAGGCAAAAUUUCUCUUAUGUUAAUGGUAUUAUAUUUAAAUUUUGAUGGAAGAAGAUUUAAGGAAAAAUGGAUGAACAAUUAUUUUUUCAUAGAACACAACCAUUAUGACUCACAUCCCAAGAAUGAAUGAUCACUGUAAAGGACUAAUAUUCAGUAAUACUAAGGACUUAAACUAAAAUGUGUUUCAAGAACAAUUUCAUAGAGAAAAAAAUAGGAGAUUAUUACUGUGUUCAAAGCUGUUUUGUUGAUUGCUAUCUUUAUAUUCAAACUGAAUCUUCUACACACACAAAUUACAAGAUUAUAAAAAUGAUUGUACAAAGUGGAUCAUUAUUCAUGAAUGGAGAAUUAAAAAUAAUAAUGGAUGAAAUUUAUCACCUUGCG